CAGGCAAUGGAAUUGUGAAACGGACAGGUCGCCUUUUAUAUAUAUACAUAUACGAUACCAACGCACCCCUGUCUCCCUCGCUGUCAAAACUCUCCUCUCUAGUGAGACCAGCCACCUCCUUUCCUUCAACUAAUUCAAGCGAUUCCGUCAGUAGGAUAUCUCACUGAACAUUAGAGUAUAUAUAC
Long non-coding RNA from Cucurbita moschata (crookneck pumpkin), 185 nucleotides. RefSeq lists it as uncharacterized. Lineage: Eukaryota; Viridiplantae; Streptophyta; Magnoliopsida; Cucurbitales; Cucurbitaceae. The record is from RefSeq and is a predicted model, not a curated record. The transcript has 3 exons.